Colias croceus (clouded yellow) is the source of this 472-nucleotide long non-coding RNA. RefSeq lists it as uncharacterized. The record is from RefSeq and is a predicted model, not a curated record. The transcript is spliced from 2 exons. NCBI's taxonomy places the organism in Eukaryota, Metazoa, Arthropoda, Insecta, Lepidoptera, Pieridae.
GUGAAGUUCGGCAUGAUCAUUAUUGUGCUAACUGUUCAACUUUUUAUUCGCACAGAUGCAAUUCCAGGCAUAUUUGUAAAGGCGGCGCGGCGGCUCACGUACCUGCCGCAGAGGCAAUAUUGGAAUCAUCCUUAAGUGUGAUGUGUAUAGUGUGCAGGGGCAAUUUUAAGAUUGGCCUCUUUGGCUUUUCAAUUGCUCUAACUACCCUACAACCGGUAUUGCCCCUGCGGCAGGUGUGUGAGUAGCCAGCUUAAGAUAUAUUUCAUACCAACGGCGUUGCACGGGUGUAGCAGAUUGGCAGGGAACAGGGAAAGAUGGCGGAACAUCGUGAAGCGGGUUAAAUUUGCCCCUGGUACAUGAUGACCACGACCGCUCUGUCAAGAGUGACAUAGCAAAGAAGAUUUUAUACCAAAAAUAUGAUAUUAUUAUUCUAUGCUUUUAAUAAUUAAAAUAAAGUUCAUUCAAAAAUAAA